Salvelinus fontinalis (brook trout) is the source of this 343-nucleotide long non-coding RNA. RefSeq lists it as uncharacterized. NCBI's taxonomy places the organism in Eukaryota, Metazoa, Chordata, Actinopteri, Salmoniformes, Salmonidae. The transcript has 3 exons. The record is from RefSeq and is a predicted model, not a curated record.
UGUGUGUGUGUGUGUGUGUGUGUAGAUUAAACAUAAACGGACAUGGCAGCAGGUCAAAAUCAAAUACAAGAACAUUCUGCAGAAUGCAGUGAAAAAGAAUACCCACAGACAAGGCACGGGUGGUGGGUCACCAAAGGCUGACCUUACCCCAGCAGAGGACAUGGCCUUGGAGCUAAAUAAAGGCAGGCCCGUCUUAGAGGGGAUCCCUGGGGGGAAAGAGACGAGCAUAGGUUCCUCCCAAGAUGCCACCCGCUUCAUUCAAGUGUCUGGCAGCACUGUGUUCCUGUUAGAGCCACCAGCACAAGCACCAGACGAUGCUGAUCCAGUGAGUACUCCAUCAAAG